AAAUUGAAGAGUUUGAUCAUGGCUCAGAUUGAACGCUGGCGGCAGGCCUAACACAUGCAAGUCGAACGGUAACAGGAAACAGCUUGCUGUUUCGCUGACGAGUGGCGGACGGGUGAGUAAUGUCUGGGAAACUGCCUGAUGGAGGGGGAGAACUACUGGAAAAGGGAGGUAAUACCGCAUAAAGACGCAAGACCAAAGAGGGGGACCUUCGGGCCUCUUGCCAUCGGAUG
This 230-nucleotide ribosomal RNA is filed under the name Escherichia coli. RNAcentral describes it as "partial 16S ribosomal RNA". It matches the Rfam family "Bacterial small subunit ribosomal RNA", at positions 1 to 227 of the family's 1533-position model. The record is from RNAcentral. Lineage: Bacteria; Pseudomonadati; Pseudomonadota; Gammaproteobacteria; Enterobacterales; Enterobacteriaceae.